Molecule: unclassified non-coding RNA, 232 nt
Filed under: rhizosphere metagenome
Description: partial ribosomal RNA internal transcribed spacer region
Source: RNAcentral
GAGUAAGGGUGUCUCUUCGCGAGCGCCCGACCUCCCAACCCUGUGUCUAUGUUACCUCUAGUUGCUUCGGUGGGCCGGCGUCCUGCUCACGCGGGACGCCGCCUGGUCUUCACCGGCCGGGAGAGCCGCCUGCCGACGGCCUACACAAAACUCUUGAUACCAAACCAUGUCGUCUGAAUAUUUGUGAUUUAUAAUCAAAAACAAAACUUUCAACAACGGAUCUCUUGGUUCU